UAACAAGGAUUCCCCUAGUAACUGCGAGUGAAGCGGGAAGAGCUCAAAUUUAAAAUCUGGCAGUCUCCUGGCUGUCCGAGUUGUAAUCUGGAGAAGCGUUUUCUGUGUUAGACCGUGUACAAGUCUCCUGGAACGGAGCGUCAUAGAGGGUGAGAAUCCCGUCCAUGACACGGACUACUAAUACUUUGUGAUACGCUCUCGAAGAGUCGAGUUGUUUGGGAAUGCAGCUCAAAAUGGGUGGUAAAUUCCAUCUAAAGCUAAAUACAGGCGAGAGACCGAUAGCGAACAAGUACCGUGAGGGAAAGAUGAAAAGCACUUUGGAAAGAGAGUUAAACAGUACGUGAAAUUGUUGAAAGGGAAACGCUUGAAGUCAGUCGCGUUGUGCAGAACUCAGCCUUGCCUCGGCUUGGUGUACUUUCUGCACAACGGGUCAACAUCAAUUUUGGCCCAUGGAGAAAGGUGGGGGGAAUGUAGCGCUGUUUCGGCAGCGUGUUAUAGCCCUCCACUGUAUACAUGGGCUGGGAUUGAGGAACGCAGCACGCCCUUGUGGCCGGGGGUUCGCCCCACGUACCGUGCUUAGGAUGUUGGCAGAAUGGCUUUAAGCGACCCGUCUUGAAACACGGACCAAGGAGUCUAACAUGCUUGCGAGUGUUCGGGUGGAAAACCCUUGUGCGGAAUGAAAGUGAAAGUUGGGAACCUCCGCAAGGGGGUGCACCGACGCCCGGCCCUGACGUUCUCUGACGGUGCUGCGGUAGAGCAAGUAUGCUAGGACCCGAAAGAUGGUGAACUAUGCCU
RNAcentral lists this ribosomal RNA (795 nucleotides) under Fomitiporia chilensis. RNAcentral describes it as "partial large subunit ribosomal RNA". It matches the Rfam family "Eukaryotic large subunit ribosomal RNA", at positions 66 to 838 of the family's 3401-position model. Lineage: Eukaryota; Fungi; Basidiomycota; Agaricomycetes; Hymenochaetales; Hymenochaetaceae. The record is from RNAcentral.